CAUCUUUGGAUGUUCCGUGACAUUGUAGCAAUAGUGAAGAAAUGUUAACAAGGAGAAGCAAAAGAUAUACAAAAGAUGUCCCUUCCAUUUUCAAGCUAUGCACGCAAGAAAAAAUGUGUAAAUACAAACAUGCAAUGAAACAAGUGUAAAUAAAUCAAAUGGAUUCUGUUUUGUUUUUUAAAUAAAAAAAAUAAACAAUAAUAGCAACAAAUAACUAAACUUAAAUAAAAGGCAAAAGAAACAGCAAGGCUAAACUCUCGUAAUAGUUUUCAAAACUAUUUUUGUUUUUAAAAAUCAACUAAUGAAAAAAAUGUUUUGAUCUGUUUUGUAAAAACGGUUUUUUAAAAGACUAAAACUAUUCUCACUUUUAUUGUUUUUAAAACUAAUAAAUGAAAACAAUAAAAGAUAUUAAUGACAUACUUGUAAAUAAGUGAGCACAAACAUUAGUGUUUUCUUAUAUAUACAAAAUUUAUUCUUCAUAUCAGAAGUUCAUUAUUGAAAUAAUAUUGGGUUCAUAGUGGAGGAAAAAAAGUAUAUAUUUUUGACGAGUAACUGAUGUGUAUAUAUGGUAUAUAGCAUUAAUACCAAGUAAUAGAAGAAUGUGAUUAAGGAUCUUGUUAGUGCAACAACAAGUGGUAAGGAUUAUCAAAUAUCUGAAAAUAAAGAAAGUUAUUAGUAAAUUGCAACAAGAAAUAAAAGACUAUUGAAAGCUUAGGUGAGUAAAGCCUAUCAGCUAGGAAGGAUGUUAUAAGAUUUUAUAUUGACUUUGAU
RNAcentral lists this long non-coding RNA (771 nucleotides) under Cicer arietinum (chickpea). RNAcentral describes it as "long non-coding RNA (CARI_LNC000141)". The record is from RNAcentral. Lineage: Eukaryota; Viridiplantae; Streptophyta; Magnoliopsida; Fabales; Fabaceae.